RNAcentral lists this ribosomal RNA (492 nucleotides) under uncultured bacterium. RNAcentral describes it as "partial 16S ribosomal RNA". It matches the Rfam family "Bacterial small subunit ribosomal RNA", at positions 29 to 507 of the family's 1533-position model. The record is from RNAcentral.
AGUGAACGCUGGCGGUAGGCCUAACACAUGCAAGUCGAACGGCAGCACAGUAAGAGCUUGCUCUUACGGGUGGCGAGUGGCGGACGGGUGAGGAAUACAUCGGAAUCUACUUUUUCGUGGGGGAUAACGUAGGGAAACUUACGCUAAUACCGCAUACGACCUACGGGUGAAAGCAGGGGAUCUUCGGACCUUGCGCGAUUGAAUGAGCCGAUGUCGGAUUAGCUAGUUGGCGGGGUAAAGGCCCACCAAGGCGACGAUCCGUAGCUGGUCUGAGAGGUUGAUCAGCCACACUGGAACUGAGACACGGUCCAGACUCCUACGGGAGGCAGUAGUGGGGAAUAUUGGACAAUGGGCGCAAGCCUGAUCCAGCCAUACCGCGUGGGUGAAGAAGGCCUUCGGGUUGUAAAGCCCUUUUGUUGGGAAAGAAAAGCAGCAGGUUAAUACCCCGCUGUUCUGACGGUACCCAAAGAAUAAGCACCGGCUAACUUCGUG